Non-coding RNA from Cinara cedri, 445 nucleotides. The record is from the annotation of a GenBank genome assembly. Lineage: Eukaryota; Metazoa; Arthropoda; Insecta; Hemiptera; Aphididae.
CACAAUGAUUGGUAAUGAGUAUUUGGUGAGUUCUAAUUAAGAGGACAUAAUACAUCUACUGUAGUAGGAAUAUCAAUUUCAAAGAAAUCAUUUUUUGUAAUUUGAAUUGUAAGCAGUUUUAAUCCAAGUAAAUUAUAUCAUUGAAUUUGAUGAUUUUAUGAUAAACUGGAAUACUAUAAUAGUACAAAAUCAAUGUUUAUAUUUUACACCCAUUACCUGCAAAAUAUUACGAUACCAAAUCGAAUAAGUACAGACAAGUAUACUAUUGAGAUAUUAAUGUCUAAUCGGUUCAUGAGGUCACAAUUUAAGUACAGUUUACACUGAUAUUAUUUUUGUAAAUUUCAUACGGUAAGUAUAAACUAAAUUGAAGCAAUUAUUAUUGAUAACUUGUAUGUUGGAAGACAUAAAAAGUGUUAGAAUAGUGUUAGAUUUAUGAAUAUAAUAC